RNAcentral lists this ribosomal RNA (151 nucleotides) under Radiomyces embreei. RNAcentral describes it as "5.8S ribosomal RNA". It matches the Rfam family "5.8S ribosomal RNA". From Rfam's summary of the family: 5.8S ribosomal RNA (5.8S rRNA) is a component of the large subunit of the eukaryotic ribosome. It is transcribed by RNA polymerase I as part of the 45S precursor that also contains 18S and 28S rRNA. The record is from RNAcentral. Lineage: Eukaryota; Fungi; Mucoromycota; Mucoromycetes; Mucorales; Radiomycetaceae.
AACUUUUAGCAAUGGAUCUCUUGGUUCUCGCAUCGAUGAAGAACGUAGCAAAUUGCGAUAAUUAGUGUGAAUUGCAGAUUCAGUGAAUCAUCGAGUUUUUGAACGCAUCUUGCACCGUUGUGGUAUUCCACACGGUACGCCUGUUUCAGUA